Long non-coding RNA from Helianthus annuus (common sunflower), 842 nucleotides. RefSeq lists it as uncharacterized. Lineage: Eukaryota; Viridiplantae; Streptophyta; Magnoliopsida; Asterales; Asteraceae. The transcript is spliced from 3 exons. The record is from RefSeq and is a predicted model, not a curated record.
AUGCAAAAAUACAAUCGAUUUCAUCAUAUCAUCUUAGUUUAGGCUGAUUAUAUAACAUCUGCUUUUCAAUCUGUUGCUAUUGGUAGACAAGACGAAAAUAAUUCGUCGAGUACGAUGGCAUUAUCGCUUCAGGUGUGUGUUUGGUGUUGGCAUCACAUAAUGAACAUAUAUGGCGAGAAGGAUGGAACCGAAGGGUGAUGCCCUGCAUGUCGGGCACCUUAUGAUAAGGUUACAAUACAUUCCGAAAUCUGUAUUCUUUUACUGCUACUCCCUAUAGAAAAUACUCUUUCUAAUGCUAGAAUCUUAGCAAUAGUUCAAGUCAAGAACAAAAGGUAUCAAAGCGGAAGCCCAAAUGAAGGAACAAAGAACCUUAGUAGUGUUUGAGUAAUUCAGUGAAAAAUGGUGUAUAUCAUUGGACUCUGCCUCUUGAUCUUGCUGAUGAAGAUUAUCAUCUAAGGCACAGAACUUGACACCAACAGGAUUUUCCAUGACCAUUAAUCCCCCAACUGCAUGAGACCUGAACAGGCUGUUGCUGACAGCUUUGGAUAUCAGGAUUGGAUCAAACACUCGUUAUCGUUCACCAUUGUUAGGGAAUCCAAGCACCGCUGGUAUCAAUCAUGCUACAAUAGGUGGUGAAGGCAGAUCAUCAACAAACGGGUUGACCAAACUAACCAGAGCUACGUUAUUUAUUUAACAGACAAUGUUUGGAGGAGAUGAGUAUCAAGUAUCAAAAACAGUGUAUUGUUACAUGAAAAUUACUAAAUGGUAUACUUUUUCUUUUUCAUACAACUUUGAAAGCAAGUUCCAAAGAACAAUAUCCAGUUUAUAUUGUAUUGUAGUUU